RNAcentral lists this long non-coding RNA (1067 nucleotides) under Homo sapiens (human). Its description in RNAcentral is "non-protein coding lnc-MAP3K2-4:1". Lineage: Eukaryota; Metazoa; Chordata; Mammalia; Primates; Hominidae. The record is from RNAcentral.
GGCCAUCUUUGAAUCUUCUGGCAGACUAGAGAAUCUCAGUCUCAGAAAUAAGAUUACAGUGGUUUAAGUUUUUCAUAUGUACUUAUUAUACACAAAAAUAACAUUAAAAGGUAACAGUAAUGAUGACAAUAGUAAUAGACUUAGGGCUCUAGAUAUAGGAAUUUUAGAUACCACCUUAAAUAUGUUCAGGGAGAUAAGAAACAAGAUUCAAAAUGUCAGAGCAAACAAAAAGAAGGCAAAUUUGGAAAAGAACCAAGUAGAAAUUUUAGAACUAUAAAAAUACAGUAACUGAAAUUAAAAACUCGAUGUACAGGUAGGUAGGUGCAAGUAGCUGGUAGUCCCAGUUACUCGGGGGGCUGAGGCUUGGGGGUAGCUGGAGCCCAGAAGUUCGAAACCAGCCAGGGUAAAAUAGUGAGGCCCUGUUUGAAAAGAAAAAUGGGGUGGGAGGGGGUGGGGAAAACAGAAAACUUAGUGGAUGAGUUUAGCAUCAGAUUAGACAUACUUGAAAAUAAGUGAACUGGAAGAUGGCUUAGAAGGAGAGAUCUGGAAUGAAGCUUCAAGAUACAGUAUUACAGAAGAAAGGAAAAGAUAUAGACUAUACAUCGAAAAGUUUUCGCAAAAAUUGGAAUAAUGAAAGGAGAGGGAAAGUUACAUGUAUAGCAGAAGCAGUAUUUUAAAAGGAAAUGAUACCUAAACCAUAGAUUCUCGAAGUUGUACACAUUGCAAGGAAGAUAAACAAAAAGAAAUCUACACCUAACUACAUCGUAAUAAAACUGCAAGAAACCAACGAAAAUAGGAAAGUCUAAAAGCAGCCACAAGGGAAAAAAAAUACGUUCAGAAAAGUAAUGAUUAGACUAACAGCUGACUUCACAACAGAAACAAUAGAAUCUACUAACUGCAAACCUAGAAUUUUGUUAAAUUUAGCAAAAAUACUUUCCAGGAAUGAAGAUGAAAUAAGGAGGGAAUUAAUUAACAGUGUACCAGCUGAAGGAAAUACAGAAGGAAAGAAAUGCAAGAAAGAAUGAUCUCAGAUGGAAGGUUAGAGAUGCAGGAGGGAGAAAAGAGCA